GGUAUUGACGGUAUUUAACCAGAAAGCCACGGCUAACUACGUGCCAGCAGCCGCGGUAAUACGUAGGUGGCAGCGUUGUCCGGGAUUUAUUGGGCGUAAAGCGAGCGCGGGCGGUUUUUUAAGUCUGAUGUGAAAGCUUCGGCUCAACCGAAGAAGUGCAUCGGAAACUGGGAAACUUGAGUGCAGAAGAGGACAGUGGAACUCCAUGUGUAGCGGUGAAAUGCGUAGAUAUAUGGAAGAACACCAGUGGCGAAGGCGGCUGUCUGGUCUGUAACUGACGCUGAGGCUCGAAAGUAUGGGUAGCAAACAGGAUUAGAUACCCUGGUAGUCCAUACCGUAAACGAUGAAUGCUAAGUGUUGGAGGGUUUCCGCCCUUCAGUGCUGCAGCUAACGCAUUAAGCAUUCCGCCUGGGGAGUACGGCCGCAAGGCUGAAACUCAAAGGAAUUGACGGGGGCCCGCACAAGCGGUGGAGCAUGUGGUUUAAUUCGAAGCUACGCGAAGAACCUUACCAGGUCUUGACAUACUAUGCAAAUCUAAGAGAUUAG
Molecule: ribosomal RNA, 546 nt
Filed under: Lactiplantibacillus plantarum
Lineage: Bacteria; Bacillati; Bacillota; Bacilli; Lactobacillales; Lactobacillaceae
Description: bacterial SSU rRNA
Rfam family: Bacterial small subunit ribosomal RNA
Source: RNAcentral